UUUAGGUGGUUACUAGGGAGUUGCUAUGUAGUUGUUUAGGUGUUUCUGUGGUUACUAUGAAGAUGCUAUGUGGUUGUCUAGGUGUACAGGUGGUUGCUAGGGAGUUGAUAUGUGGUUGUCUAAGUUUUCAUGUGGUUGCUAGGGAGUUGAUUUGUGGUUGUCUAGGUGUUCAGGUGGUUACUAAGGAGUUGCUUUGUGGUUGUCAAGGUGUACAGGUGGUUGCUAGGGAGUUGCUUUGUGGUUGUCUAGGUGUACAGGUGGUUACUAAGGAGUUGCUAUGUGGUUGUCUAGGUGUACAGGUGGUUGCUAGGGAGUUGCUUUGUGGUUGUCUAGGUGUACAGGUGGUUACUAAGGAGUUCCUUUAUGGUUGUCUAGGUGUACAGGUGGUUGCUAGGGAGUUGCUUUGUGGUUGUCUAGGUGUUCAGGUGGUCACUAAGGAGUUGCUUUGUGGUUGUCUAGGUGUUCAGGUGGUUACUAAGGAGUUGCUUUGUGGUUGUCUAGGUGUACAGGUGGUUGCUAGGGAGUUGCUUUGUGGUUGUCUAGGUGUUC
This is a long non-coding RNA of Cyprinus carpio carpio, 549 nucleotides long. The record is from Ensembl. NCBI's taxonomy places the organism in Eukaryota, Metazoa, Chordata, Actinopteri, Cypriniformes, Cyprinidae.